CCCUUAGAUGUUCUCGGCCGCACACGCGCUACACUGAAAGAGGCAACGUGUUUGCCUGAUUCGAAAGAAUUGGGUAACCCCCUAAUCUCUUUCGUGCUGGGGAUUGAGGUUUGCAAUUAUCCUUCAUGAACGAGGAAUUCCCAGUAAGUGCGAGUCAUUAUCUCGCGCUGACUACGCCCCUGCCCUUUGUACACACCGCCCGUCGCUACUACCGAUUGAAUGAUUUAGUGAGGACUUCGGACUGAGUCCAAUGCGGCUUUCGGGCUGCGUUGGUAUUUCGGAAAGAUGUCCAAACUGUAUCAUUUAGAGGAAGUAAAAGUCGUAACA
Molecule: ribosomal RNA, 327 nt
Filed under: uncultured eukaryote
Lineage: Eukaryota
Description: partial 18S ribosomal RNA
Rfam family: Eukaryotic small subunit ribosomal RNA
Source: RNAcentral